UUAAGGCAUACAGUUCAUUUGAUUAACUUGAAGUUUAAUGUAUUAACAGAAUCCUGAACAAGCCAUACUAUUGAGUCCAAACCAUAAUUUCAGAUAUUGGGUGGGGUGUCAGCAAAUUACAUAAUACACUACAUCUUGUAUAAAUCCGUCAUCACAUAGUUCUAGUAUCGAUUAAUUUCACGGACUCAACGCAAUUUCCACUUAGCUUUUUCUUGUCGUUCAAAAAUGGUCCCAGGUAAUUCAUCUCUUGACAACUUGUGGACUUCAGUUGGGUCUUCUUGUACCAAAUCUAACUGCCUAUCUUGUCGGCUUUCCAACGUACUUUCAGCUUGCUGUAGACUCCGUGAUGAUCUGAUUCUAGUCUCAAACAGAUACCCAAUACUUCCAACGACAAAUGCACAUGGAAACACAAUGUACGGUGCAUAUGCGCGCAUGGUACUCAAUAUUAAUGGCCACAUUUUUAUUUGUGAUUUUUCCAAUAUUUGUCUUUAGUACAUAUCCAGUAAAUGAUCAAACACAGAAAUAAACCAUUAAGGAUUUAUUCAAAGGUAUUUCCUUGAAAUAUAUAUUGUUUUUCCACCAAUUUUCCAGCAAAAAUGCAAGCCAAUCGACUUUUAUGUCUUCACGUUUAAAAUAGAAGGGAUGAGGAACUUCAUGUAACAUGAAUAUAAUGGUUUAAAGUCACAACACAGCGAACCCUAAAAUUUUAUCACCAAUGUUUACAAUAUGGCUGCCAAAAUUCUUAGAAUGCAUUUCACCAAAG
Molecule: non-coding RNA, 763 nt
Organism: Paramuricea clavata
Lineage: Eukaryota; Metazoa; Cnidaria; Anthozoa; Malacalcyonacea; Plexauridae
Source: the annotation of a GenBank genome assembly